CCAAAUGUCCUCCUUUAUACGCCAUAACUAUGGUGGUGCUCCUAUUUAAAGGAGGCUCAUACGGAGACAAGAAGACAAGAAGUUAUGUAACAUUUAUCGUCAUGAAUAUUGAUGUGUUUUUACUCGCUGAUUAUUUCUUUCUUUUACAUAAAUUAAACAUCUUUAUACGUUUUGAAAUUAAUCCUAUAUUUAUGCUGAAUUUGAACUUUGUCUUGUAUAUUAUUUUACUUGUCCACGGGCAAUCAAGACAAAAAUAAUUACUUGUCCGGGUGUUAAAAUGUACGAGUCGGGCGAGUCGGGCAUAGCAUUUCCACACCCCUG
RNAcentral lists this long non-coding RNA (321 nucleotides) under Mytilus galloprovincialis (Mediterranean mussel). The record is from RNAcentral. Lineage: Eukaryota; Metazoa; Mollusca; Bivalvia; Mytilida; Mytilidae.